AAGUCGUAACAAGGUUUCCGUAGGUGAACCUGCGGAAGGAUCAUUAACACGUAUCCGAGCGCGCUGCUCCUCUCGACGUCAGCAAUCCUGGUAAAUCAGUGGCGAAAGUAGUCUUUGAUUCAGGACCUCUGAAGUUGUAAGCAGGCAGUUUGAGCCUUCUAUCGCCAGUCUGGAGUCCAUCGCCGGUGUAUCACACGCCGAAGCGGACAGACUGCAGGGUGUAGUGCCCCUUUACGACGACCAAGUUAAAUUAGGCCUCUACCACAUAGCAAGUGCGCCGUGGUAGAGGAAAACGUACAACUGUUAACAAUGGAUAUCUUGGUUCUC
RNAcentral lists this unclassified non-coding RNA (327 nucleotides) under fungal sp. RNAcentral describes it as "partial internal transcribed spacer region". The stretch from base 1 to 46 matches the Rfam family "Eukaryotic small subunit ribosomal RNA", at positions 1786 to 1831 of the family's 1831-position model. The record is from RNAcentral. Lineage: Eukaryota; Fungi.